AAGGCCUUUCGCUAGAGUGUCAGGUUAGUCGCUCGUCCUCCCUCAAAGAAGCAAAAGAUCGAUGUUAACAUCGAUAACACUUGGUUGUUGAAGGAAGUGUUUUUUUUUUUGUUGUCGUGUCAAUUGUGGUGGACUUGAUAGUUGUUGAGUCUCCUUGUGACAAUGUUUGAAAAGUUGAGCUCCUACACAUGCAGUAAAGCCUCGGCCUA
This 209-nucleotide long non-coding RNA is filed under the name Vigna radiata. RNAcentral describes it as "long non-coding RNA (VRAD_LNC008800)". The record is from RNAcentral. Lineage: Eukaryota; Viridiplantae; Streptophyta; Magnoliopsida; Fabales; Fabaceae.